AGAUGUGUAUAAGAGACAGAGUGAGUCAUCGAAUCUUUGAACGCACAUUGCGCCCAUUAGUAUUCUAACGGGCAUGCCUGUUCGAGCGUCAUUUCAACCCUCAAGCCCUGCUUGGUGUUGGGGCACUAUUUUUUGUAUAGGCCCUGUAACAUAGUGGCGGAUCUGCUGUUAUCCUGAGCGUAGUAAUAUACGUCGCUUUGGGCUUUCAGUGGGCUUCUGCCGUUAAACCCCCACUUUUUUAAGGUUGACCUCGGAUCAGGUAGGAAUACCCGCUGAACUUAAGCAUAUCAAUAAGCGGAG
This 300-nucleotide unclassified non-coding RNA is filed under the name uncultured Sordariomycetes. RNAcentral's name for it is "sequence contains 5.8S rRNA gene, ITS2". The stretch from base 1 to 91 matches the Rfam family "5.8S ribosomal RNA", at positions 58 to 154 of the family's 154-position model. Lineage: Eukaryota; Fungi; Ascomycota; Sordariomycetes. The record is from RNAcentral.